RNAcentral lists this ribosomal RNA (591 nucleotides) under Streptomyces ambofaciens. RNAcentral describes it as "SSU rRNA". It matches the Rfam family "Bacterial small subunit ribosomal RNA", at positions 901 to 1482 of the family's 1533-position model. The record is from RNAcentral. Lineage: Bacteria; Bacillati; Actinomycetota; Actinomycetes; Kitasatosporales; Streptomycetaceae.
UCAAAGGAAUUGACGGGGGCCCGCACAAGCGGCGGAGCAUGUGGCUUAAUUCGACGCAACGCGAAGAACCUUACCAAGGCUUGACAUACACCGGAAAGCAUUAGAGAUAGUGCCCCCCUUGUGGUCGGUGUACAGGUGGUGCAUGGCUGUCGUCAGCUCGUGUCGUGAGAUGUUGGGUUAAGUCCCGCAACGAGCGCAACCCUUGUCCCGUGUUGCCAGCAAGCCCUUCGGGGUGUUGGGGACUCACGGGAGACCGCCGGGGUCAACUCGGAGGAAGGUGGGGACGACGUCAAGUCAUCAUGCCCCUUAUGUCUUGGGCUGCACACGUGCUACAAUGGCCGGUACAAUGAGCUGCGAUACCGCGAGGUGGAGCGAAUCUCAAAAAGCCGGUCUCAGUUCGGAUUGGGGUCUGCAACUCGACCCCAUGAAGUCGGAGUCGCUAGUAAUCGCAGAUCAGCAUUGCUGCGGUGAAUACGUUCCCGGGCCUUGUACACACCGCCCGUCACGUCACGAAAGUCGGUAACACCCGAAGCCGGUGGCCCAACCCCUUGUGGGAGGGAGCUGUCGAAGGUGGGACUGGCGAUUGGGACG